UAUAUUCUAGUUUUAUUAUUUCGACCAAUACGGUUUUGUAAUAAUACAGUGACUUUUAAGUUUAUGGUCAGGUACAUUACUGGGUAGUGUUACUGUGCCUAUUACUUUGACUACUGGGGAAAAGGAACAAUGGUAACCGUAUCAUCUGGCAUACAAACGAAGCCCACCGUGUUUCCGCUUCAGUCAUGCGCGUCUGACACCAGCGGAGGCCUGGUGGACAUCGGCUGUCUGGCCACCGGAUACGUGCCAUCGCGCUCCGUAACUUUUACAUGGCGCGACAAAGGGAAGGGAAGCGACAUUUCUGACUUCGUUCAGUACCCCGAGGUCCAGCGCAAUGGCGCCUACUCUGUUUUCACUCAAAUUAAGGUGAAAGCCGAAGAUUGGGAAAAAAGCAACACCUACACCUGCAAUGCAAAUCAAGGGCAGACCGCUGAAUCAACAGAUGUAACUCGAAUGGUUGUAAAAACUGUGAAUCCCACUCUGUACGUAAUGACUCCGUCCCAAGAGGAGCUCACCGAGAAGAAGUCGGCCAGCUUCGCUUGUCUAGCCAAAGGCUUUUCUCCCAAGACGCACAAGUUGAAGUGGUACUUGGGGUCAAAGGAAGUAACUGAGAAUGUCACUAGCUUACCUGAGGUUAAAGACAAUGGCGACUCAUUGUUCAGUGCGUCCAGCUUUUUGUCACUUCCCGAGAAGCAGUGGAAGAGCGAUGAAGCACGUGUCACGUGUGUUUUUGAGCGCAAACCCGGCUCGAUUGUGCAGGAGUCCGUUUCAUUUCGCCCACCUGACUGCAUAGAGGACCCCAUCACUGUAAACAUUUUUCCUCCAACACCUGAGAAAUUUUUCCUCAAUGAAGAAAUCUUACUUGGCUGUAAAGUCACCGGCGACUUGAGCAAUUUAGGAGCCAUUGAAUGGGAGAAUGCAGAUGGCUCCAAACUUGUGGCAAUGAAGGAAGUUAAGGAAAAUGGGAAUUCUAGAGUCUCCUGGCUUUCCAUCAGCUACGAGGAGUGGAGCAAUGGCACAGAAUUUGUGUGCAUCGUAACGCACAGUGACUUGCCUUUACCAAAGAGAGAGACCUACCAAAGAGAAAACGGACGAGCGGCCAAAGCUCCCUCCGUCUUUAUUCUGGGGCCAGCGGAGCAGGCCAAGCAGGUGACCCUGACUUGCUAUGCCAAAGACUUCUACCCCAAGGAAGUGCUGAUCUCUUGGCUUGCCAGCGAUGAACCCUUGGAUAGGAGUCGGUUCAGCACAACUAGUUUGAUUCAGACAGGCGACACCUACUCAGUGUACAGCCAGCUGACAAUAGAGAAGGAUGAAUGGGAUGAAGGCAAGGGCUAUAGCUGUGCAGUCCACCAUGAAACUAACAGCAAAGAAAUCAAAGCCAUAGUCAGAGCAAUUGACAGCCUCACAAAGAAAUCCUCUUCUGUCAACCUAAGCCUGUCCAUUCCUCAAACCUGCAAGGCUGCCUAACUAUUGUUUGUGUUUUGUUGUCUUUUUGUGGUGCCUCUGUAACUGUGAUGUAGAAGAAAUCCACUUGUCUGUCUGUCAACCUGUCUGAUGUUUGUUUUUAACAUGAAAAUGCAAAAUGAAAAAUGGCAAUAAAAAAUCAGUAAAUAAA
This is a non-coding RNA of Paramormyrops kingsleyae, 1615 nucleotides long. NCBI's taxonomy places the organism in Eukaryota, Metazoa, Chordata, Actinopteri, Osteoglossiformes, Mormyridae. The record is from the annotation of a RefSeq genome assembly.